This 264-nucleotide unclassified non-coding RNA is filed under the name Hevea brasiliensis (rubber tree). The record is from RNAcentral. Lineage: Eukaryota; Viridiplantae; Streptophyta; Magnoliopsida; Malpighiales; Euphorbiaceae.
GCCAGUCCCUCCUAAAGUAACACCCUGCAAAAAAUAUUUGCAAUGAGAUACAAUCUCAAACAACAAGGUGUUGGAGACCCAUGAUUAAUCCUUUAAAAGUUAUAUAGGCAGGGUAUAUUUUUAAUAUUAAAUGAAUUCCAUCGUUUAACCGGUCACUAAGAGUUUUGAAUUCGGUAUUUUUCAGAGAAUGUGUUUUUUACCAGGAAUUUCUGACAUUUCCAAUUCCCAGCAAAAAAUUUAUACCACAAAUUACCAACCCAAUCA